This 245-nucleotide non-coding RNA is filed under the name Verminephrobacter eiseniae. The record is from RNAcentral. RNAcentral also lists the same sequence under 1 other name. Lineage: Bacteria; Pseudomonadati; Pseudomonadota; Betaproteobacteria; Burkholderiales; Comamonadaceae.
CGUACACUCGGUGCCGUUGGUGCUCGCGGUGUGGUUCACAUGCCGCAGUUCAACGGGAAGCAGGAAGGUGCCGUCGUCAUCCACGGCGCACCCGGCCUGCGCUGCCCCCGCAACGGUCAGCGGACGAAUCAUCCGAUUCCCUCCCCCAUCCAUACGCCACUGUGUGCCUUGGCAAACCAAGCGCAUGGGAAGGCUUGGGGGGGUGUUCCGCCAGCCCGGAUACCGGCCAACAUGGUGGCUGCGCG